CCCCUAGGACUUUCAUUAACACGUUACCUGAUUGGAGCAUGCUUAUUGCCGUUAUCACCAUAAUCUUCUUGGCUGCUGAGAAGUAGUGGAUGAUGCUUGAUUGGAAACCUAGGCGGCCUAACAUGCUCAUUGACCCUUUUGGUCUUGGGAGAAUUGUUCAGGAUGGUUUGGUGUUCCGGCAAAAUUUUUCUAUUAGAUCAUAUGAAAUAGGUGCUGAUCGUACAGCUUCUAUAGAGACAUUGAUGAAUCAUUUGUAGAUACGAUUAAUUCUUCAAAUUUUAUACCACUUAUUUAAAAACCAAAAUUACAUCAUUUAACAAGUCGUUCUGUUUUUCUUGAAUAGCAUGUGUCUGAGAUUUUUUUUCAUGAGCUAUUGCCUUAUUCCUCUUACUUUUGGUUCUAAGAAACUGCCCUUAAUCAUGUUAAGAGUGCUAGACUUCUUGGUGAUGGCUUUGGUUCAAUGCCAGAGUUAUGCAAAAAGAAUCUGAUAUGGAUGGUUACACGAAUGCAAAUGGUGAUAGAUCGCUAUCCUACUUGUGGAGCUUCCAAGUUCUAUCCAUUCUCUUAGAGAGCAAAAAGAUCUACACAAUUGAACCAUCAUAAGUAGAGCUCUUGAAGUUUAAACCUUCUGUAAAUACUGAAUAUGAUAAUCUGGAAUGACUCACAGCUUUAUGUUAACGAAAAAGAAAAAGAAAAAAUUGUGCAAGAAAACCUCUGCAUCAUAUAUGCUCCUAUUAGGAAAAACUGUAAUUUCAAUUCUCCCAAACUUGUAUCAACCUAUGGCCUAUUUUAACUUAUUUGUCUUUGAACUAA
Juglans microcarpa x Juglans regia is the source of this 813-nucleotide long non-coding RNA. RefSeq lists it as uncharacterized. Lineage: Eukaryota; Viridiplantae; Streptophyta; Magnoliopsida; Fagales; Juglandaceae. The record is from RefSeq and is a predicted model, not a curated record. The transcript is spliced from 2 exons.